GAUGAACGCUAGCGGCAGGCUUAAUACAUGCAAGUUGAGGGGCAGCAUGAUAUACGCGAGUAUAUUGAUGGCGACCGGCGGACGGGUGAGUAAUAGGUAGGAGACCUACCUCAUACAGGGGGAUAGCAUAGAGAAAUCUGUGGUAAUACCCCAUGAGGUUAUAUGAAUAGAGGCAUAUAAUCAAAGCAUAAGCGAUUAUGCGGUAUGAGAGGGGCCUACUGACCAUUAGCUAGUUGGUGAGGUAAGGGCUCACCAAGGCGAAGAUGGUUAGGGGUUUUGAGAGAGAGACCCCCCACAUUGGAACUGAGAGACGGUCCAGACUCCUACGGGAGGCAGCAGUAGGGAAUAUUGGGCAAUGGGCGAAAGCCUGACCCAGCCAUGCCGCGUGAAGGAGACGGCCUUAUGGGUUGUAAACUUCUUACUACGCGAAUAGAGGUUAGUACGAGAUACUAAUAGGAAGGUAGUAGUAGUAAAAAGCACCGGCUAACUCCGUGACC
Molecule: ribosomal RNA, 497 nt
Filed under: uncultured bacterium
Lineage: Bacteria
Description: bacterial SSU rRNA
Rfam family: Bacterial small subunit ribosomal RNA
Source: RNAcentral